Gossypium arboreum is the source of this 1422-nucleotide long non-coding RNA. RefSeq lists it as uncharacterized. Lineage: Eukaryota; Viridiplantae; Streptophyta; Magnoliopsida; Malvales; Malvaceae. The record is from RefSeq and is a predicted model, not a curated record. The transcript is spliced from 4 exons.
GGGCAAAAAGGAAACAAACAAAGCAAACAACAGAACAUGCCGCCACUAUCCCAGUACAAACAGAAAAAUCAAGAAAACCCAACAAACCAACCAAAAACAUCUAGAAGGCAAAGGAAGGAAAGAAAAAUAACCCCAAAACCGCAGCAACCAAGAAAACACAUGGAAGCCAAAACUUUCCAAUGCCCAAAGGUAGACCAAGACGCGUAGGACGGUGGAUAGGUCAAGGAUGAAGCAGGUAAAAAAUACAGGGAUACUGAUUCGAAGAACCAUAGAAGGGCAAAGAGCUAAUGGGAGGGUCGACCCACCACCUAUUAGCAGCAACUGCCGAUUCAACCUCCAACGGAACCUCCUCUACCCAAAAUUGAUCAUGUGCCCAUCGAAAUCCUAGAGACGCAAGCAGAGCUUUCGAAUGACAUGCAACGAAUCCCCAUUAAAAACAACUCUUUGCAGGCCGAGGUCAUAAGCAAAAUCCACAAACCAAACAAAAGUCAAUGCUUUUGCAACGAAAGCGGAGAAGACAUGGCGAUGAAGUUGUGUGCAUGCACCCAACACCUGGCCAUGGCAGUCACGCACAACCACACCAAAGCAUGAUGUGCAGUCACAUCCCUUGUACAUAGCGUUGAAGUUUUCCUUUACCAAAGGCUCAAUCGUAGGGUGCCACUGCUCGGCAAGCGAACCUACUAAAACCCCAGCAGUCAUAUCGAGGGUAGACAGAUCUCGGAGAUGCGAACGAAUAAAUGAGAUGACCUCCAAAGAAGUAUGGUGAAGCCCAUCAUGGUGCCCACAGUUCCUCCUCAUCUAGAGAACCCAAAUCGUAGCCAAGUAAUUUGCAGGUUUUCCCACACCGAAGCUGCUAAAGGGUAAUCCCGUAUGACAUGGAAGUCAUCUCAAGUACGGUUCAACAUUUAGGAUAAUACUGAGUUGGAGAAAUGCACUUGUUGUACAGGUUAAAGAAAGUAGGGACAUAGUUUUGGAAGAAACGCCAAGUUGUAAUCUGCACUUUAGGUGGGACUCUAGCCUUCCACAAGGUUGUAUACAGAUCCCUAGAACACGUAGGAGGGUUGCGGGUAGUAUGGGAAUAGGUCAAAUGUGUAGACGGUAGGAGCAUUUUGUUACCACUACGGACUGUAUAGCAACCCGUAGGAUCCCCCUUCCAAACAAGCAUGUCAUCACUAGCCAAGCGUGAAAAAGGAAUACUCAAGAUCCGACUAGCUUCAUUUUCAGAAAUCAUGGAUCGUACCAAGUUGCCACUACUUGGAAGCUAGCAAUCAUUCCAAAUCGAAAUGGAUCAUCCAUUGCCCAGCCGCCAUCCAAGGCCCUUCUCUAACAAACCCCGAGAGUUCUAGAUGUUCCACCAAGUAAAAGAUGGGUAAGACCCUAAACUCGCUUGCAAAAAAUCCAAAGUAGGGAAAUAUUUGACUU